Long non-coding RNA from Phasianus colchicus (ring-necked pheasant), 2381 nucleotides. RefSeq lists it as uncharacterized. The record is from RefSeq and is a predicted model, not a curated record. NCBI's taxonomy places the organism in Eukaryota, Metazoa, Chordata, Aves, Galliformes, Phasianidae.
UUACAGCACAUGAUUAUUUUGUGAAUGUUUUAUUCUCCUUAGUUUAGUACAUUGGAAAUGACUCCUGAAAGAUGGAUCAGUUGGUAGAUGUGAGAUGAGUCCUCCUUUGAUUGAGUCAAUAAAGCCUUUCCCAGCGUACCAUCCUUCACUUAUAUUUUCACAUCAGAAAUAAAAAUGUAAAAAGAAUGGCACUUGUUUAACUGCAUAGACUAUAAUUAAUUUAGGAUAUAUUUUUGUUUUGCCCACUCACACAUGUGCAGUCAACAAAUGUACAGUUGGAAGAGUAGUAUGGUUAGGAUAGUACUUCACAGGUGUUAUAGUUGGAAAGAUUAUCGUAGUGGAAAAGAAACAAUCAAAAAAGAAAUGCUCAACCAUACCCAAUGAUCUAGGCAUGUAGUGGAAAACUCCAAAAAGGAGGAAUCUCCAGAAGGAGAUCCUCCCCAGGUGAUAGUCAGCCCUUAAAUGGGAUCUAGGAGGGGUGGAGCCUGGCCAGUCACACAGGUGAAUUGCUUUCACUUGUGCUCCUACAGCUGACCCAGUCCUUGCCUCAGGUGAUCAAUCAGUGGUUCAGGCCAUGACUCAACAGUUCCCAUACACACACAUCUCAAUGUUUUCCUCCCUCUCUUUUCAGUCCUAAACUGAAAAUGGGGUUUUCUUGAAACUGAUGUGGAGGCUGUGUAUAUCUUGAAUGGAACCUUUUAUUUUUCUGUAUGGUUUCUUUUGUGCAGAAUGUGAGUUUGAGAGAGCUGGAAAAUUGGAGACACAAAAAAAUCUGCAUCAUUUAAAAAUUUUGUGUGUGGACUUGUCUGUAGUUCUCCAAGAAGUACUCAGUGAUAGAGAAGUGUAAUUCAUUUGACUUCAUGGAUAGGUAAACAUAGAAGUGGAAAAGGUAAGUAACGUAAAGACAAACGUGUUAGGAUAUAAGAGUUGGCUUUAAUCUCUGACAUAAAAAAGGAAAAGGGAGUGGGGAGUGAGGAAUUAAAAAAAGAAAAAGAAAAAAGAAAAAAAAAAAAAAAGAAAGCUAUAAAACCUACAGGAUUACUACUUGAGUUUAUCCAGGGAAAAGUUUUGAUGAUUCAUAAGUGUCUCCUGAGCUGCUAGUCUUUACAGUUUGUUUGCCGUGCACACAGUGCUCCCUGCCACCUGUUGUUAAUUAUAACAUCCUAUAAAUCUUAUGUUAGAAGACUAGCAAUGAGACACAGUGCCUGCACUGGCUUAGUGGAUGCUCUAGGAAAAAAAUAAUUUUUCAGGAGUUUAUUCCUGGAUAAGCUUCUGCAAACCUGGCAUUGUCAUGUACUGAUAUUUCUAUUAAGAAAAACACAAGUGGAUGCCUUUAAACAAAUAAUGUCCUGGCUUUAUAUAACCACUGUGGUUUCAAGCACAUAUAAACAAACACUCUGAUGGGAAGCUGUCAUUUAAUAAAUCAAUACAGCUUGCUUGGUAAUAAAUAUUUUUCUUAGAAACCACAUCAUUCUCUCUUCCAUAGAUCAUAUGACUUUGCAGUUCCUGCAUUUUUUUACUUUACUGGAGCAACAAAGAAACGUGGGAAAUAACUCAGCAUUGUGAAAUCAUUCAGCUUAGCAGAACCUAUGCUCUGGUUAGAACAAGUUUAAAAUGUCUCAUUUCAGGCAUAAGUGGCCAAAUUUUUCCCUUUUCCAGGUAGCCACAACUCAGCUGAACUGCAUGGUGCCACCUUUCUGAGAUGAGGAAAGCAUUUAGCUUUGGCUUAAUCACUUGGAUUUCAUUGCCUGUGGUUUUACAAAGAGAGAUAAGAUUCAACAGAAGCCACCUCCUAUUUUUGGAAUACAGUGUGGUGAACUGAUGCCUUCUAGCCUGCGCCCAAAGCUGCAUGUUCCUGUUGCUGACUUUGAUCACAUCAGUCCCACACUGCACGAUUGUGUUCUUGGGAGGAAAUGUGAUGCUGCUGGCCAAGGACUGGCAAACUGAAUGAAAAAUUCUGGUCUCUGAGCUACAUAAAACAUCUUUGUUCUGAUAUUCCACAUUCACUGGAGCUCUGCACGUGGUGGGAAGAAUGGAAGAGCAGAACAGAGGUAAGCCCUUUGCUGGCAUAAACAGACUUGACUGCUAGUUACUUCAGUGGUAAGCUGAUUGCAUUUGGUUUGAGUGUCCCCAGAGCUGUGCCAUCAUCAUUCUGUCCCAUUGACAAUUAUAUCAAGUAAAUAAAAGACAAUGUAAGCAUCGCCAUUUUAGUGACUGUAAUUGUAUUAUAUGCAUAUAUGUUGUUGCUUCAUCUCUCAACACUGAGUUGUGUUAGAAACUUGAUUUGCUCUCUGGAACUUUAAUUUUGGAAGUGAUCAAAUGUUUUGCUUGAAGGACUCUGUGCAACUCCUCAGUGUAUUAUCCGUCCACUUCUUACUUUC